AGUGAACGCUGGCGGUAGGCCUAACACAUGCAAGUCGAACGGCAGCACAGUAAGAGCUUGCUCUUACGGGUGGCGAGUGGCGGACGGGUGAGGAAUACAUCGGAAUCUACUUUUUCGUGGGGGAUAACGUAGGGAAACUUACGCUAAUACCGCAUACGACCUACGGGUGAAAGCAGGGGAUCUUCGGACCUUGCGCGAUUGAAUGAGCCGAUGUCGGAUUAGCUAGUUGGCGGGGUAAAGGCCCACCAAGGCGACGCUCCGUAGCUGGUCUGAGAGGAUGAUCAGCCACACUGGAACUGAGACACGGUCCAGACUCCUACGGGAGGCAGCAGUAGGGAAUAUUGGACAAUGGGCGCAAGCCUGAUCCAGCCAUACCGCGUGGGUGAAGAAGGCCUUCGGGUUGUAAAGCCCUUUUGUUGGGAAAGAAAAGCAGCAGGUUAAUACCCCGCUGUUCUGACGGUACCCAAAGAAUAAGCACCGGCUAACUUCGUG
RNAcentral lists this ribosomal RNA (492 nucleotides) under uncultured bacterium. Its description in RNAcentral is "partial 16S ribosomal RNA". It matches the Rfam family "Bacterial small subunit ribosomal RNA", at positions 29 to 507 of the family's 1533-position model. The record is from RNAcentral.